Molecule: long non-coding RNA, 1054 nt
Organism: Trifolium pratense (red clover)
Lineage: Eukaryota; Viridiplantae; Streptophyta; Magnoliopsida; Fabales; Fabaceae
Exons: 2
Source: RefSeq, a predicted model, not a curated record
UUAUGCUUGAGUUUCAAUCCAACUAUUGGCGGGGCUGCUGCAAAGGCAUGCUCCGUUAUUUUAUGAAUGAUUAUUUUCUUCUUUAUUCUGAUUUUUGGAACCUGCUUACACAGAUUUCUUAGUUAGAAAUCAUUGCUAUUGUGUCGUUGAUCCAUAUGAGUAACUCAAGAACAUUAUAUGGUACCAACCAAGGACAAGGAGUUCUGCUCGAAUUUGUCAACCUUAAAUAUCAAGUUUGAAAUUUGAAAUACAGAGGAGCUAAAAGUUAUGAAAAAAGAAAAAUUCAAGUUUCCGUGAUUUUGGCCAUCAAGCAUUUCACAAAGGAAGUUUCAGGUAUUUCUAAUCAAAUUUGCUUUAAGCAUAAGUUAUUCAAUCUUUGUUAUUAUUUAUAUACCAAGAUACGAUACAAGAUAAUAUGAGACCCAGUUUUUUCUUUAAAAAUAUACAUUAAUGGGGUGCAAUGUUCAUAGCAAUAUGGCAGCAUCAUCCAUUAUGCAAUAAUUUUAAAAGCUAUGACGAAUUUUGAAAUGUGUUUACUAUUAUAAAAACAAAAGCAUAUGCAACUUUUAGAUAACACAUGAUUGAAUGUUUAAGAAAAAUCAGGUGAGAUUAACCAAAGAUAUAUAUCCCACUAUAUUAAAAGCAUAAUAAAAUCAUUGAGAUAUCUAAGGAUUCAGAGAAGUUGACACCUCUUAAGAGUGACUGUGGAACUAGCCAACAACAAUUUUGUUCUUAAGGAUAGAUAUAAAAACUGUUCUUUCAUAUGUUGCUACUACUUUUAUAUUUGAAGCUUCUACUACUACAGAUUUUAGGCUAAUGGAUGUAGGUUUCUAUAUUAAUUAUGACUAUGACGACAAGGGAUGUCGCUUAGAGGAUAGUAUGUAUCAGGUUGUUCUUCAUAUACAAUACUCAUAAGGUAACAUUGUGAAAGAUUUUGGUUUUUGUUUGUUCAUUUUGUUUAUUUUUAGGUUCUUUGUGCUCAUUACACUCCCAAUCACCCACAUAUUUAUGCUCUUUGUGCUCAUUACUCUUAUUGUUCUAAUUUUUACUUGAA